UCCCUGGUGGUCCAGUGGUUAGGACUCUGCAUGCUCACUGCCGAGGGCCCAGGUUUGAACCCUGGUUGGGGAA
Non-coding RNA from Cervus elaphus (red deer), 73 nucleotides. The record is from the annotation of a RefSeq genome assembly. Lineage: Eukaryota; Metazoa; Chordata; Mammalia; Artiodactyla; Cervidae.